CAACUACAUAAGCUGAUGGGCGGUUGACACUCCCUAAGAAAGGGGGUGUAUAUAAUGGUGACAUAUGAAGCAAUGAAUACGCUAUUACAAUUCGGUACAUUGAUCGUUACAAUGUUUAUCGCAUUUGUGGCAAUUGUCGCACUAGUCACCAAUAAAAAGAAGUAACCGCCCGUCCUCCGACCAAGAGUAGGUGGUUACUUCUUUUUUAACAUCAACUUGAUUUGGUCAGCCGCUCUUCAUGCGGCAUGUAGUUGCUUUGACCGGGUGUUGUAGCACUCGGU
RNAcentral lists this small RNA (281 nucleotides) under Halalkalibacter wakoensis JCM 9140. RNAcentral's name for it is "Bacillus wakoensis JCM 9140 BsrG". The record is from Rfam by way of RNAcentral. Lineage: Bacteria; Bacillati; Bacillota; Bacilli; Caryophanales; Bacillaceae.